RNAcentral lists this ribosomal RNA (440 nucleotides) under uncultured bacterium. Its description in RNAcentral is "bacterial SSU rRNA". It matches the Rfam family "Bacterial small subunit ribosomal RNA", at positions 958 to 1399 of the family's 1533-position model. The record is from RNAcentral.
AACGCGAAGAACCUUACCUGGUCUUGACAUGUCGAGGAUUCUGCAGAGAUGCGGAAGUGCCUUCGGGAACUCGAACACAGGUGCUGCAUGGCUGUCGUCAGCUCGUGUCGUGAGAUGUUGGGUUAAGUCCCGCAACGAGCGCAACCCUCAUUUUUAGUUGCCAGCAUUAAGUUGGGCACUCUAAAGAGACUGCCGGUGAUAAGCCGGAGGAAGGUGGGGAUGACGUCAAGUCCUCAUGGCCCAUAUGACCAGGGCUACACACGUACUACAAUGGAUGUGACAGAGGGAAGCGAAGCCGCGAGGUGAAGCUAAGCUCAAAAAAGCAUUCGUAGUCCGGAUUGGAGUCUGCAACUCGACUCCAUGAAGUUGGAAUCGCUAGUAAUCGCGGAUCAGAAUGCCGCGGUGAAUACGUUCCCGGGCCUUGUACACACCGACGCGUA